Long non-coding RNA from Triticum aestivum (bread wheat), 325 nucleotides. RefSeq lists it as uncharacterized. The transcript is spliced from 3 exons. Lineage: Eukaryota; Viridiplantae; Streptophyta; Magnoliopsida; Poales; Poaceae. The record is from RefSeq and is a predicted model, not a curated record.
UUACAUUCCUCUAAACAAACAAAAUAAUCACUGGAUUACUGUCGUCAUGCAUAGCGGAAAAAGAGAGUUUCAGGUUCUUGACUCGUUGAUGACCGGAAAACUUGACACUGUUACUAGAGAACUCGUUGAGGACCUGAGAAAACAACUAGCAGAAGAUAUCCAAGAAGCAAAUGCAACCGGAAUUGUGAAUUAUCCGGAUGUUUCCAAGUGGCCUAUUCAAACGUAUGACAUGCCAAAACAACAUGAUGGGAAUUCGUGUGGACUAUUUCUCCUUCGAUGCUUUCAAAAUUGGGAUGGUGACAAAUGGACAGGCUUAUUUUCACAG